Molecule: unclassified non-coding RNA, 431 nt
Filed under: Hevea brasiliensis (rubber tree)
Lineage: Eukaryota; Viridiplantae; Streptophyta; Magnoliopsida; Malpighiales; Euphorbiaceae
Source: RNAcentral
CAGAGACAGAUUGUUAUCCUCUUUUACAACGAAUGUGGCAGGCUCAGUGACCUCAAUUCGGCCCCACUUGUCAACAGCUAGCCUCAUGGAACCCUUAAACAUGUCAAUCUUAGCAUUCCGGAGAAUUACUGUGGUUCCUGGCUUCAUCAAGUCAACUUGAUCAUUACGGGCGGUGAAGAGGAUGGUGCCGGUCUCAUCACCGACGAGACAUUCGGCGAUGCGUGUAUUGCGGAGACGGUUAGAAGAGGCGGGGGCUCGGCCCUUUUGCAAAACCGUAUUGGAGUUCAAGACCUUGGCGAUCAGGGUGUGGCCAGUGGUUCCAGGCUUAAGCUGAUCCACUUUAAUAAAGACCGGCUUUCUCUUCUCUGUCUUGUUUGUGUUUCCCUGUUGCUGAUGCUCCUGAUUUGUUGUCGUUGUUGCCAUUAAUUUUG